GGGACAGGUUCUGGCCAGCCCUGCGGUGGCAGAGUAGGGAGCUGGGUACGCCUGAAACUGAAUUCAGAGCUCUCUGCUGCCUUUGCCUGCUCAGCAAGCCUAUCCUCACCUCGUGGGGAAUGGCUGCUUUCCUCCCUAUGGGACUACUUUUUUUCGACUUUAUUUCUUCCAGGAGAGAGGGGGAGAGGAGAGAGAGACAGAGACAGUCAACCCCAAUAGGACCUCAAAGCCACGAUCCACCACCAGGAUGAGUCCCAGCUCAGCGUGUGACCAACCUACUCAGGGAGGUUGCCAGAGUUCUUCAUACACCAUGCUCAGCGAGGCUGCGGGCGGACGUGAGAGAAAGCAUGGUCCGCAUUGCAGAGGGAGGCCCAUUCCAGUGCUGUCCCGUGGCUGACCCAGCCCAGCUUGCUUGGGCCGACCUCCCCCUCCUCUGGACCCCGUUGAUGAACCUGCCACGUUGGGGAAAUGUAGAGGUCGCUAACCCCAGACAGGCUUGGAGAAGUUCAAUCCAGGAGGAAUGGGGCUAGGAUGGAAACCCAGAUCUCUCUUUCCACCAGAGUGCAUGACCCAAGGAGUUUUGUCAUCAUUGGUGUUUUAUUUUUCUGGCGUCUUUACAUCUUGCCACCCGGAAGUGGGUGGGAUGCUGGGACAUCUUCAUGCUGGAUAUAUGCAUGGAUGAGCUAGAGAGAGAAAAAGAAAGAGUGAAAAAUCACAUC
Tupaia belangeri chinensis (Chinese tree shrew) is the source of this 719-nucleotide long non-coding RNA. RefSeq lists it as uncharacterized. Lineage: Eukaryota; Metazoa; Chordata; Mammalia; Scandentia; Tupaiidae. The transcript has 4 exons. The record is from RefSeq and is a predicted model, not a curated record.